This 312-nucleotide long non-coding RNA is filed under the name Meleagris gallopavo (turkey). RNAcentral describes it as "lncRNA (ENSMGAG00000020008.1)". Lineage: Eukaryota; Metazoa; Chordata; Aves; Galliformes; Phasianidae. The record is from RNAcentral.
UAAAUAGUCUGUUCUACGUGUUCUUUUCCAGCCAAAAUAUAUUAUAUGUUUCUCUACUUUUUGAACACAGUGUUUCAGCUUCACUUCCUAUUAAUCCUGAGAAGAAAUGACCAAGUAGCUGGUGCUUGCUGGCAGAGCAAGAGGAAUGCUGCAGUAAGCAAUGAAAUGGAGCAGAUUUAAAUGGGAAUAUGUCUUGGGAGAAUGCCUACCAACCUGCUAGUCACCAGUGGCAGGAAUUCCUCUCUUUCUCGUGCAGAUGUUCCAUUAUACAGAAAGCUGGUGAGCAGAGAUACAUAAAUCUGUAAUUUAGCG